This 1221-nucleotide long non-coding RNA is filed under the name Scleropages formosus (Asian bonytongue). RNAcentral's name for it is "lncRNA (ENSSFOG00015025440.1)". The record is from RNAcentral. Lineage: Eukaryota; Metazoa; Chordata; Actinopteri; Osteoglossiformes; Osteoglossidae.
GGUGUAGGUCUUGGAAGAAAAAGGGUUCUUGGACCAAGAGCGUUAUUCCCAUAUGUGCUGGUCUUCUAGUAAAUGUUUGUCAUGAACGUUGCCUGUGCGUUCUUCUUCGCCCUGUUCGAACCCAGAGCGCUGCAUGCCACAGUAUCAUCCCACUUGAUGUGAACGUUACUGGAAUCACUCAUCAGAAUUUCUGUUUGUAUUCCAGUGCAUCAUAUUGUGACGGACAAUCCAUUCCCGCCGACACCGAUGACAGUUUCCGAAGUUCCUAUAUUAACGAGCCACCCGAUCCACCCAGCCCUGCACUUCUUCCCUCCAAAACAAGAACCUGAGGCAAAUCUACCUACUCCUACUCCAAAGAAAGGUACAAAUUUUUAUGUGACCAUAUGGCUAUAAAUAAUUCCAUUCCAUUUUAAUGCAAUUUUAAAUGCACUUGCACCCACAAGUGAGUUACGAGGUUCCUAAUAUAACGAGGCCCCGUGUUUCAGAGCCCGAGGCGUCUGAAGAGGUGGCUCCACCAGCGCUGGGAAAGAAAGGUACCCAGUGACCGCGGGGCGCUGGCCUGCAUUCAUUGUCCCAUUUUCAGCCUCAUUUCGGAUAAGUACGUUGCGCUCCACCGGUCUGUGAUCUCUUCCCUCCUGCUGAAUAUUUCACAAGCAGGUUCACAACCAAGCUCUGGUGCUUUACUUUGAAUUUACGUGCUGAUGGGUCAGACAUUGGCCUUGUUAGAACUGACAUGCUCUGUGUGCACCACUCUACUGCUUAAAGAGAAGCUUCUCAUAUUAUAGUCUCUUUGAUUCAGAGCCCAGACCUUGCAAAGAGAAACCCGCACAAGCCCCUGUAAAGAAAGGAGCUAAGAUUCACAAAGAGAAGGCUAAAUAUCCCCCUGUAAAGAAAGAAGCUGUCGUUUCUAAGGAGAAGACAAAGCUGAUACUUCCAAGAAGAGCUGUCCAAGUUAAAGUUGAAAAGACCACAAAGCCACAUGAACCAGUGAAAGAAGUCAAAACUAAGGAGCAUAAAGGUGCAAAACCUGAAAAAGAAAGGCCUAAACCUUUGGUGAAAAAGGGUAAGGUUGAAUUUAUUUGUGCCUUAAUGUCCGAUAAUAAAGUUAAAUAAUUAAGAUUCAUAAUAGUCUCUGUACAGCGGGUUUUAUGUGUCCAGAUUUCCUUAGUGUUUACCACAGGGAGUUUUGCAUGCUAUACAUGACCUGAUUUCUUUACCCAG